GAUGAACGCUGGCGGCGUGCCUAAUACAUGCAAGUCGAGCGAACGGACGAGAAGCUUGCUUCUCUGACGUUAGCGGCGGACGGGUGAGUAACACGUGGAUAACCUACCUAUAAGACUGGGAUAACUUCGGGAAACCGUAGCUAAUACCGGAUAAUAUUUUGAACCGCAUGGUUCAAAAGUGAAAGACGGUCUUGCUGUCACUUAUAGAUGGAUCCGCGCUGCAUUAGCUAGUUGGUAAGGUAACGGCUUACCAAGGCAACGAUGCAUAGCCGACCUGAGAGGGUGAUCGGCCACACUGGAACUGGGACACGGUCCAGACUCCUACGGGAGGCAGCAGUAGGGAAUCUUCCGCAAUGGGCGAAAGCCUGACGGAGCAACGCCGCGUGAGUGAUGAAGGUCUUCGGAUCGUAAAACUCUGUUAUUAGGGAAGAACAUAUGUGUAAGUAACUGUGCACAUCUUGACGGUACCUAAUCAGAAAGCAACGGCUAACUACGUG
This 497-nucleotide ribosomal RNA is filed under the name uncultured bacterium. Its description in RNAcentral is "partial 16S ribosomal RNA". It matches the Rfam family "Bacterial small subunit ribosomal RNA", at positions 28 to 507 of the family's 1533-position model. The record is from RNAcentral.